UACGUAGGGUGCGAGCGUUAAUCGGAUUUACUGGGCGUAAAGGGUGCGCAGGCGGCCCGUUAAGACAGGUGUGAAAUCCCUGUGCUCAACCUAGGAAUUGCGCUUGAGACUGGCGGGCUUGAGUACGGUAGAGGGGGGUGGAAUUCCUGGUGUAGCAGUGAAAUGCGUAGAGAUCAGGAGGAACACCGAUGGCGAAGGCAGCUCCCUGCGCCUGUACUGACGCUCAUGCACGAAAGCGUGGGGAGCAAACAGG
Molecule: ribosomal RNA, 253 nt
Filed under: uncultured microorganism
Description: partial 16S ribosomal RNA
Rfam family: Bacterial small subunit ribosomal RNA
Source: RNAcentral